Molecule: ribosomal RNA, 500 nt
Filed under: uncultured bacterium
Lineage: Bacteria
Description: partial 16S ribosomal RNA
Rfam family: Bacterial small subunit ribosomal RNA
Source: RNAcentral
AUUGAACGCUGGCGGAAUGCUUUACACAUGCAAGUCGAACGGCAGCACGGACUUCGGUCUGGUGGCGAGUGGCGAACGGGUGAGUAAUGUAUCGGAACGUGCCCAGUCGAGGGGGAUAACGUAGUGAAAAUUACGCUAAUACCGCAUACGACUUAUGGAUGAAAGCGGGGGAUGGCAAGACCUCGCGCGAUUGGAGCGGCCGAUAUCAGAUUAGGUAGUUGGUGGGGUAAAGGCCCACCAAGCCAACGAUCUGUAGCUGGUCUGAGAGGACGACCAGCCACACUGGAACUGAGACACGGUCCAGACUCCUACGGGAGGCAGCAGUGGGGAAUUUUGGACAAUGGGCGAAAGCCUGAUCCAGCCAUUCCGCGUGCAGGAUGAAGGCCCUCGGGUUGUAAACUGCUUUUGUACAGAACGAAAAGGUUUCUACUAAUACUAGGAGCUCAUGACGGUACUGUAAGAAUAAGCACCGGCUAACUACGUGCCAGCCGCCGCCGUAA